GGAUGUAAGAUGGCACAGCCACCCGGGAAACAGGUUGGAGAUCACUCACGCCGGGCUGGUGGGAUGUAAGACGGCACAGCCGCCCGGAAAACAGGUUGGAGAUCACUCACGCGGGGCUGGUGGGAUGUAAGAUGGCACAGCCGCCCGGAAAACAGGUUGGAGAUCACUCAAACAGGUUGGAGAUCACUCACGCCAGGCUGGUGCGAUGUAAGAUGGCACAGCCGCCCGGGAAACAGGUUGGAGAUCACUCACGCCCAG
Molecule: long non-coding RNA, 258 nt
Organism: Papio anubis (olive baboon)
Lineage: Eukaryota; Metazoa; Chordata; Mammalia; Primates; Cercopithecidae
Source: Ensembl